CAGUGGCGAACGGGUGAGUAACACGUGGGGAAUCUGCCCUGAACUCUGGGACAAGCCUUGGAAACGAGGUCUAAUACCGGAUACGACCUUCUCCUGCAUGGGGGUUGGUGGAAAGCUCCGGCGGUUCAGGAUGAUCCCGCGGCCUAUCAGCUUGUUGGUGGGGUAAUGGCCUACCAAGGCGACGACGGGUAGCCGGCCUGAGAGGGCGACCGGCCACACUGGGACUGAGACACGGCCCAGACUCCUACGGGAGGCAGCAGUGGGGAAUAUUGCACAAUGGGCGAAAGCCUGAUGCAGCGACGCCGCGUGAGGGAUGACGGCCUUCGGGUUGUAAACCUCUUUCAGCAGGGAAGAAGCGCAAGUGACGGUACCUGCAGAAGAAGCACCGGCUAACUACGUGCCAGCAGCCGCGGUAAUACGUAGGGUGCGAGCGUUGUCCGGAAUUAUUGGGCGUAAAGAGCUCGUAGGCGGNCUGUCGCGUCGGAUGUGAAAGCCCGGGGCUUAACCCCGNGUCUGCAUUCGAUACGGGCAGGCUAGAGUGUGNNAGGGGGAGAUNGGAAUUCCU
Molecule: ribosomal RNA, 565 nt
Filed under: Streptomyces sp. 337D03
Lineage: Bacteria; Bacillati; Actinomycetota; Actinomycetes; Kitasatosporales; Streptomycetaceae
Description: bacterial SSU rRNA
Rfam family: Bacterial small subunit ribosomal RNA
Source: RNAcentral